UAAGCGACUAAGCGUACACGGUGGAUGCCCUGGCAGUCAGAGGCGAUGAAGGACGUGCUAAUCUGCGAUAAGCGUCGGUAAGGUGAUAUGAACCGUUAUAACCGGCGAUUUCCGAAUGGGGAAACCCAGUGUGUUUCGACACACUAUCAGUUAACUGAAUCCAUAGGUUAAUGAGGCGAACCGGGGGAACUGAAACAUCUAAGUACCCCGAGGAAAAGAAAUCAACCGAGAUUCCCCCAGUAGCGGCGAGCGAACGGGGAGCAGCCCAGAGCCUGAAUCAGUGUGUGUGUUAGUGGAAGCGUCUGGAAAGGCGCGCGAUACAGGGUGACAGCCCCGUACACAAAAAUGCACAUGCUGUGAGCUCGAUGAGUAGGGCGGGACACGUGGUAUCCUGUCUGAAUAUGGGGGGACCAUCCUCCAAGGCUAAAUACUCCUGACUGACCGAUAGUGAACCAGUACCGUGAGGGAAAGGCGAAAAGAACCCCGGCGAGGGGAGUGAAAAAGAACCUGAAACCGUGUACGUACAAGCAGUGGGAGCACGCUUAGGCGUGUGACUGCGUACCUUUUGUAUAAUGGGUCAGCGACUUAUAUUCUGUAGCAAGGUUAACCGAAUAGGGGAGCCGAAGGGAAACCGAGUCUUAACUGGGCGUUAAGUUGCAGGGUAUAGACCCGAAACCCGGUGAUCUAGCCAUGGGCAGGUUGAAGGUUGGGUAACACUAACUGGAGGACCGAACCGACUAAUGUUGAAAAAUUAGCGGAUGACUUGUGGCUGGGGGUGAAAGGCCAAUCAAACCGGGAGAUAGCUGGUUCUCCCCGAAAGCUAUUUAGGUAGCGCCUCGUGAAUUCAUCUCCGGGGGUAGAGCACUGUUUCGGCAAGGGGGUCAUCCCGACUUACCAACCCGAUGCAAACUGCGAAUACCGGAGAAUGUUAUCACGGGAGACACACGGCGGGUGCUAACGUCCGUCGUGAAGAGGGAAACAACCCAGACCGCCAGCUAAGGUCCCAAAGUCAUGGUUAAGUGGGAAACGAUGUGGGAAGGCCCAGACAGCCAGGAUGUUGGCUUAGAAGCAGCCAUCAUUUAAGAAAGCGUAAUAGCUCACUGGUCGAGUCGGCCUGCGCGGAAGAUGUAACGGGGCUAAACCAUGCACCGAAGCUGCGGCAGCGACGCUCAUGCGUUGUUGGGUAGGGGAGCGUUCUGUAAGCCUGCGAAGGUGUGCUGUGAGGCAUGCUGGAGGUAUCAGAAGUGCGAAUGCUGACAUAAGUAACGAUAAAGCGGGUGAAAAGCCCGCUCGCCGGAAGACCAAGGGUUCCUGUCCAACGUUAAUCGGGGCAGGGUGAGUCGACCCCUAAGGCGAGGCCGAAAGGCGUAGUCGAUGGGAAACAGGUUAAUAUUCCUGUACUUGGUGUUACUGCGAAGGGGGACGGAGAAGGCUAUGUUGGCCGGGCGACGGUUGUCCCGGUUUAAGCGUGUAGGCUGGUUUUCCAGGCAAAUCCGGAAAAUCAAGGCUGAGGCGUGAUGACGAGGCACUACGGUGCUGAAGCAACAAAUGCCCUGCUUCCAGGAAAAGCCUCUAAGCAUCAGGUAACAUCAAAUCGUACCCCAAACCGACACAGGUGGUCAGGUAGAGAAUACCAAGGCGCUUGAGAGAACUCGGGUGAAGGAACUAGGCAAAAUGGUGCCGUAACUUCGGGAGAAGGCACGCUGAUAUGUAGGUGAAGUCCCUCGCGGAUGGAGCUGAAAUCAGUCGAAGAUACCAGCUGGCCGCAACUGUUUAUUAAAAACACAGCACUGUGCAAACACGAAAGUGGACGUAUACGGUGUGACGCCUGCCCGGUGCCGGAAGGUUAAUUGAUGGGGUCAGCGCAAGCGAAGCUCUUGAUCGAAGCCCCGGUAAACGGCGGCCGUAACUAUAACGGUCCUAAGGUAGCGAAAUUCCUUGUCGGGUAAGUUCCGACCUGCACGAAUGGCGUAAUGAUGGCCAGGCUGUCUCCACCCGAGACUCAGUGAAAUUGAACUCGCUGUGAAGAUGCAGUGUACCCGCGGCAAGACGGAAAGACCCCGUGAACCUUUACUAUAGCUUGACACUGAACAUUGAGCCUUGAUGUGUAGGAUAGGUGGGAGGCUUUGAAGUGUGGACGCCAGUCUGCAUGGAGCCGACCUUGAAAUACCACCCUUUAAUGUUUGAUGUUCUAACGUUGACCCGUGAUCCGGGUUGCGGACAGUGUCUGGUGGGUAGUUUGACUGGGGCGGUCUCCUCCUAAAGAGUAACGGAGGAGCACGAAGGUUGGCUAAUCCUGGUCGGACAUCAGGAGGUUAGUGCAAUGGCAUAAGCCAGCUUGACUGCGAGCGUGACGGCGCGAGCAGGUGCGAAAGCAGGUCAUAGUGAUCCGGUGGUUCUGAAUGGAAGGGCCAUCGCUCAACGGAUAAAAGGUACUCCGGGGAUAACAGGCUGAUACCGCCCAAGAGUUCAUAUCGACGGCGGUGUUUGGCACCUCGAUGUCGGCUCAUCACAUCCUGGGGCUGAAGUAGGUCCCAAGGGUAUGGCUGUUCGCCAUUUAAAGUGGUACGCGAGCUGGGUUUAGAACGUCGUGAGACAGUUCGGUCCCUAUCUGCCGUGGGCGCUGGAGAACUGAGGGGGGCUGCUCCUAGUACGAGAGGACCGGAGUGGACGCAUCACUGGUGUUCGGGUUGUCAUGCCAAUGGCACUGCCCGGUAGCUAAAUGCGGAAGAGAUAAGUGCUGAAAGCAUCUAAGCACGAAACUUGCCCCGAGAUGAGUUCUCCCUGACUCCUUGAGAGUCCUGAAGGAACGUUGAAGACGACGACGUUGAUAGGCCGGGUGUGUAAGCGCAGCGAUGCGUUGAGCUAACCGGUACUAAUGAACCGUGAGGCUUAACCU
RNAcentral lists this ribosomal RNA (2899 nucleotides) under Escherichia coli DEC15B. RNAcentral's name for it is "bacterial LSU rRNA". It matches the Rfam family "Bacterial large subunit ribosomal RNA". Lineage: Bacteria; Pseudomonadati; Pseudomonadota; Gammaproteobacteria; Enterobacterales; Enterobacteriaceae. The record is from RNAcentral.